This is a long non-coding RNA of Carassius gibelio (silver crucian carp), 614 nucleotides long. RefSeq lists it as uncharacterized. NCBI's taxonomy places the organism in Eukaryota, Metazoa, Chordata, Actinopteri, Cypriniformes, Cyprinidae. The record is from RefSeq and is a predicted model, not a curated record. The transcript has 2 exons.
UGCAGUAGUGAUCGGUUUCAGGCCCGUUAAGUCAGUUCAACAGCAGCAGCAGAAUUACAGCGUGACACUGCGCGAGCUGCUUACAGUGUAACACGCGAACAGAGCAGAGCGUCACAGUCUAAUAGAACGGAACAAUGAAAGCUUUCAGACGCUGGCGGCUCGAACACUCACAUCACAGACAAGACCCUCUCUAGGAUGAGAAUCUAGGUAACUAGGAAUAACACAAGUGUCAGUCUGGAUCCAGCCCUUAUGCACAUCUGAGAUUGCUGAACAUAUGAGAAGAGAAGAUGCCAACCCUCCGAGGACCUCAGGACGAUGACGGCAAGCCUGAGCCAACAUACAAAACUACCAAAGUUUGAUCACUACAUAUACUGUUACGGACCUGCCGCUGCACGUAACAAUACUCAUUGCUGUUAAUAGUGUUCACCGUCUGUACAUGUCUUUAACUAACUGCAUGAUUUUCUUUCUGUACAUUUCUGCCAACUGGACAUCACCUUGGCAUCCCUGACAAGCUUCCCCUAAAUGUAAUGUAGAAACUUUCAUUUUCUGUGAAGCUGCUUUUCACAAUAAAAAUUGUUGCGAAGUUCUAUACAAAUAAAUGUGAAAUAAAGAGA